This 74-nucleotide transfer RNA is filed under the name Gasterosteus aculeatus (three-spined stickleback). It matches the Rfam family "tRNA". From Rfam's summary of the family: Transfer RNA (tRNA) molecules are approximately 80 nucleotides in length. Their secondary structure includes four short double-helical elements and three loops (D, anti-codon, and T loops). Lineage: Eukaryota; Metazoa; Chordata; Actinopteri; Perciformes; Gasterosteidae. The record is from Rfam by way of RNAcentral.
GUCUCUGUGGUGCAAUUGGUCAGCGCGUUCGGCUGUUAACCGAAAGGUUCGUGAAUCUUGCCCAUCCAGGCACG